Molecule: ribosomal RNA, 502 nt
Filed under: uncultured bacterium
Lineage: Bacteria
Description: partial 16S ribosomal RNA
Rfam family: Bacterial small subunit ribosomal RNA
Source: RNAcentral
AUUGAACGCUGGCGGCAUGCCUUACACAUGCAAGUCGAACGGCAGCAUAGGAGCUUGCUCCUGAUGGCGAGUGGCGAACGGGUGAGUAAUAUAUCGGAACGUGCCCUAGAGUGGGGGAUAACUAGUCGAAAGACUAGCUAAUACCGCAUACGAUCUACGGAUGAAAGUGGGGGAUCGCAAGACCUCAUGCUCCUGGAGCGGCCGAUAUCUGAUUAGCUAGUUGGUGGGGUAAAAGCCUACCAAGGCAACGAUCAGUAGCUGGUCUGAGAGGACGACCAGCCACACUGGGACUGAGACACGGCCCAGACUCCUACGGGAGGCAGCAGUGGGGAAUUUUGGACAAUGGGGGCAACCCUGAUCCAGCAAUGCCGCGUGAGUGAAGAAGGCCUUCGGGUUGUAAAGCUCUUUUGUCAGGGAAGAAACGGUAGUAGCUAAUAUCUACUACUAAUGACGGUACCUGAAGAAUAAGCACCGGCUAACUACGUGCCAGCCGCCGCCGUAA